Molecule: ribosomal RNA, 528 nt
Filed under: Triticum aestivum (bread wheat)
Lineage: Eukaryota; Viridiplantae; Streptophyta; Magnoliopsida; Poales; Poaceae
Description: partial small subunit ribosomal RNA
Source: RNAcentral
AUGGAGAGGUUCCCCGGCAAGGUCGCCGCCGCCGUGUUCGCAGCCGCCGCGAUGCCGUGCGUUGGCAAGCACAUGGGCGUCCCCACCGAGGAGUUCAUGCGAAGAACAUCAUCGGAAGGACUACUCAUGGACUGCAAGAUGCUGCCAAUCAGCAACAACCAGGGUGCAGGGGUUGCAAUCAUAGUGGGCCCAGACUUCUUAGCACGCAAGUAUUACCAGCAAAAUCCACCUGAGGAUUUGGCCCUGGCAAAAAUGUUGGUCAGGCCGGGAAACCAGUUCAUUGACGAUCCAAUGAUGAAGGAUGCAAGCCUGCUCACCGACGACAACUACGGGUCGGUGAGGAAGGUAUACGUGGUAGCCAAGGCUGAUAGCUCCAGCACCGAGGAGAUGCAGCGUUGGAUGGUGGUGUUAAGCCCCGGCACGGAGGUCGAGGAGAUCGCCGGAGCUGACCAUACCAUCAUGAGCUCUAGGCCAAGGGAGCUCUGUGAUGCCCUGGUCAAGAUCGCCAACAGCUUAUAUACUUUCUGA